This 2720-nucleotide long non-coding RNA is filed under the name Sus scrofa (pig). Its description in RNAcentral is "lncRNA (ENSSSCG00025036702.1)". The record is from RNAcentral. Lineage: Eukaryota; Metazoa; Chordata; Mammalia; Artiodactyla; Suidae.
UGAAGUAUAGUUGAUUUACAAGGUUGUGAUAAUUUCUACUGUACAACAAAGAGAUUCAGUUAUACAUGUACACACAUCCAUUCUCUCUCACAUUCUUUUCCCACAUAGAUUAUCACAGAACAUUUUUUUUUACAGAAUAAAAUACAUAUAUUUAAACACAAUUACAUUCAGACAGAUUAUCAUAUCAUGGAUCUUAAGAAAAAGAUUAAGUGUAUCCCUCUGGAGAAGUGGAAUGGAAAAUAUGCUGAGACAAAUAGGAAAUUUAUUCUAUGCUUUAUCCCAUUUUGUAUGGCUUUCGUCUUUACUAUUUAGUAUUAUCUAUUACAUUUCAAUUUUUCUUUAAAAAUUAGCAUUAUGUUAAAAUUGUAUAUAUUAUGCAACUAAAAUUUAUAAAGAAGAAAGCCUUAUAUACCUUAAAUAUUUUAUAUAGCAUAAUAAAAAAUAACUGGUAAGAAUAACAAAAAUAAUACACCCUCUGAAAAUAAGUAAAAUAUAAAAUGCAUAAAUUGGUUAAAAAACAGUGUAACUAUAUAAAUACAUCCUCACAAUUUGUAUCAUCUCAUUGAUUCUUCAAUAUAGGCAUUACACCAUUCUAGGCGAUGUGGUAAACAAGACAUUAUAGACCUUACAUUGUACCAUGGAGAGAAAUGGUUAUUAAUAAUACAAUUGUAGAACUGUAUUAUUUAAUUGUACAGUGGCAUUAUUUAAUUAUAGUUAUCAUAAAUUCUUUGAUGGAGAGGAAAUCAGAAUCAGAUCUAAGAAGACUUCAACAUUCCAAGAAUGAUGGCAAAUGACCCCCUUCAUGGUGGAUUAUGCACUUAUUUAUUAUGAGACAUAUUUCUUCUCCAGAGAUUCCUUGUUUGUGUGUCAAUUGAAGAUUUUGGGUUUGCAGUUAAUCUGAAGUUUUGAUAUAAGAGUCUAUAUGUAUAUGAGAUUGUUUUAAGUUGUUGUUCUCUUAAUUGCAAGUUCAUCUCCAGUGUCCUGCAUUGUACCCACCUCUUAUGAGUUCUGAUUUUGAUGGUAUAAUUGUGCAUGGAUGAUUUCGUAUCUUUACUGUAUAUAUACCUUUACUGGUGAGCCUUGUCACUUGCGGAAUUUUUGUUUCCUGUUGCUGUCUUUUCUUUUCUGCCUAGAGAAGUUCCUUUAGUAUUUGUUGUAAGGCUGGCUUAGUACUGCUGAAUUCUCUCAACUUUUGCUUAUCUGUGAAGGAUUUGAUUUCUCCUUCAAAUCUGAAUGAGAGCCUUGCUGGGUAGAGUAAUCUUGGUUGGAGGUUUUUUUCCUUUCAUCACGUUAAGUAUAUCAUGCCACUUCCUUCCGGCCUACAGAGUUUCUGUUGAAAAAUCUGCCGAUAACCUUAUUGGGGUUCCCUUGUAUGUUACUUGUUUCUUUUCCCUAGCUGCUUUCAAGAUUUUCUCUUUGUCUUUAAUUGAUAAUGUGUGAAAUUCAUGCAAAAUUUUGUGUGUACUUGUAGAACGUUUGUCCUUACUGCUUUAUAAUAUGACACUGUGUAAAUAAACCAUUAUUUACUUGUUUGUUUAUCUUACUGUUGAUGGCCAUUUGUUUCCAGGAGUUUCUAGCUCUUGGUUAUUACAAAUAGUGCUGCUAUAAACAUCCCAGCAUUAUGUCUUUUGGCGAAAAAUUGUACAUGUUUCUGUUGGGUGUAUAUCUAAGAAUGGAAUUGUUACAUUAUAGAGAAUAUCUACCUUUGGAUUAUUAGUAAGAAAUUGCCAAAUAGUUGUUCAAAGUGGUUCUAACAAUCACAGUCCCAUCAGCAACAUACAAGAAUUUUUAGGUCCCCUAUAUAAUCACCAAUACCUGUUUUUUUCCAGAAGCUCUUGCUUGAUGUUUCCUUGUUACCACUUACCACCAACAGUAAUCUCUGUGGUGACCUCUGACAGAAGAGUUUAUCUGCCUUUGUACUUUAUAUAAAUGGAAUCAUCCAUUAUAUGUUUAGCCUCUUUUGUUUAGUACAUGUGAAAUUCUUGCAAAAUUUUGCGUGUACCUGUAGAACGUUUGUCCUUACUGCUAUAAGGAGGUCUUUUUCAUUUUAGAUAUUCUGGUGGGAAGUACAGUAGCUUCACAUAUUAUUUUAAUGUGUACUUCUCCAGUUAUUAAAGUUGAACUUCCUUUAAUAAGUGCAUUGGCCAUUUUACAUCCGCUUUCUUAAGUAUCUCUUCAUAUAAUUUUCACUUGAGUUGUCCUGUUAUUUCCUAGAGUUCUUUAUAUAUUGUACAUUGUAUUAAUAAAGAAGAGUUCUUUACAUACUCUUAACAUGAGUCUUUGUCACAAAAGAAUUUAUUUACUUGUUUAUUUAUUUAACUUUUCUUUUUUGACUGCACCCAUGACAUGUGGAAGUUCCUGGGCCAGGGAUCGAACACGUGCCAUAGCAGCGACCCAAGCUGUUAUAGUGACAAUGCUGGAUCUUUAACCCAUGAUGCCAUGAGGGAACUCCCCCAAAAUAUAUUCUCCCACGCUGCAUAUUUUGUUUACCUUCUCUUAAAGUCUUAAAGGUGUUUAUUUGUUUACCUUCUCUUAAAGGUUUGUUUUUUGUUUUUUGUUUUUUUAGGGCCGCACCUGUGGCAUAUGGAAGUUCCCAAGCUAGGGGCUGAACUGGAGCUGCAGCUGCUGGCCUACACCACAGCCACAGCAAUGCCAGAUCUGAACCACAUCUGCGACCUACACUAGAGCCAAGGACUGAACCCACAUCCUCAUGGAUUCUA